Molecule: ribosomal RNA, 468 nt
Filed under: uncultured bacterium
Lineage: Bacteria
Description: partial 16S ribosomal RNA
Rfam family: Bacterial small subunit ribosomal RNA
Source: RNAcentral
GACGAACGCUGGCGGCGUGCUUAACGCAUGCAAGUCGAACGGAAAGGCCCUGCUUUUGUGGGGUGCUCGAGUGGCGAACGGGUGCGUAACACGUGAGUAACCUGCCCUUGACUUUGGGAUAACUUCAGGAAACUGGGGCUAAUACCGGAUAGGAGCUCCUGCUGCAUGGUGGGGGUUGGAAAGUUUCGGCGGUUGGGGAUGGACUCGCGGCUUAUCAGCUUGUUGGUGGGGUAGUGGCUUACCAAGGCUUUGACGGGUAGCCGGCCUGAGAGGGUGACCGGCCACAUUGGGACUGAGAUACGGCCCAGACUCCUACGGGAGGCAGCAGUGGGGAAUAUUGCACAAUGGGCGGAAGCCUGAUGCAGCAACGCCGCGUGCGGGAUGACGGCCUUCGGGUUGUAAACCGCUUUCGCCUGUGACGAAGCGUGAGUGACGGUAAUGGGUAGAGAAGCACCGGCUAACUACGUG